RNAcentral lists this long non-coding RNA (1361 nucleotides) under Vulpes vulpes (red fox). Its description in RNAcentral is "lncRNA (ENSVVUG00000002913.1)". Lineage: Eukaryota; Metazoa; Chordata; Mammalia; Carnivora; Canidae. The record is from RNAcentral.
UGUUUCUCUGCAAAUGGAACUCAAAUAUCCUUUGGGUUGACUACACAGAGAACAGAAGAAAAGAACUGGAAGAAACUUGGACCAGAGAUCCUCUCCCUGGAAAGGUUUCUUUCUGGCGGGAUUAUGUGAGAACAAAUGACAUCAGAAAAUAGCACGUCGGGAUACUUAUGCCAGCUCCAUAUGGCCCGGCUUGCUUUCACAGCAAGAAGCAGAAGCUGAAGGAUUUUAUACCAGUCAGCCUGGGCAGAAAAUUACAGAGAAGAGGAGGUGAAGUCAGAAAAAUAAGAUAUGAGAAAGAAAGGCACAAUCCAAGAAUGAUUAGCACUGGACUGGAAAGAGUUUUGAGAUGAAACCUCAGAUUUUUUACCACUCAAGUUCUAAAAAGAGAGACAGUAGUAAUUUUGAAGAAAUGGUGGUGGGAAUUGCUUCAGCAAAAGCUGAAGUCAGUGAAGAAAGUAAGAGGAUUGCAAGGUUUCCUUGCUGGUUCUGCCAAUUGAAAUGCUUUUAUCGUGCUGCUGUUUGGCUAAUUUCCAUGGAGACUCCACCGUAUUUGGCUUUGCCUUUCUCUGCCUUUCAGAGGACUUGGAUCUAGACUGACCAUAGCAUCAGGUAUCUCUCAGAUUUUUGUACAAUUCAUUUCUCAUUUUCCACAUUCAAGUUUGGAGUUAUUCAUUUUUUUAAAGAUUUUAUUUAUUUAUUCAUGAGAAGCACAGAGAGAGAGAGAGAGAGAGAGAGAGAGAGAGGCAGAGACACAGGCAGUGGGAGAAGCAAAGCAGGCUCCACGCAGGUAGCCAGAUGCGGGACUCGAUCCCAGGACUCCAGAAUCACCCCCUGAGCCAAAGCUGAUGCUUAACUGUUGAACCACCCAGGUGUCCCAAGUUUGGAGUUGUUCAAAUAAUUAUUUUGCUAUCUUUGAAACCAUCAAUCUUGUAAUCACUGUACAUUUUCCAUGUGCCCAUCACGUUGGUCAGUACCACUGCAUUGUGUUGGUUUGUUCUUGCCAUGGUCAGAUUGACAUAUAAAUUUGUCAAAGUAAAAUUAUGUUCACCAAAAGAAGAAAGAUUUUCAAAAUUGAUUCAGGUCAUUAGGUCAUUGAUUGGUCUGGCAAGCCUCUGUUGAACUUGCAGUGUAUAAAAAUUUAAUUAUUAUAAUUACAAUAUUAUAAAAGUUUGCAGAUUUUGCUAAUAGCUGUAAUUUCUCAAGUGAGAAAGCUACCGAUUAUUUAUCAUCUCUAAGUAAAUUCAAAUCUCUGGCCAAGGAAAUUAGAGCCUUGUGUUAGGUAGAGUUCCUCCAGGUAAAAUGCUAUGAUCUUUUUAAGAAACUAUGGAACCGGAGGCAGUGGACUAGAGCCAGGCAAAUGC